Molecule: non-coding RNA, 1452 nt
Organism: Heterocephalus glaber (naked mole-rat)
Lineage: Eukaryota; Metazoa; Chordata; Mammalia; Rodentia; Bathyergidae
Source: RefSeq, a predicted model, not a curated record
CGUUUCCCAGGGGUCCCAGCGCGACUCUCGCGGGCCCUCGCGGUGGGGCCCAGCCCUCAGCGCCCAGGCCGCCGGGAAGCGAGGGAGGGAGGCUCCGCAGGGCGUGUGGAAAGUGGCUUUCUGCGUGGACCUGGAACCCCGCUCUUCUAGGCGGGGACCCUCGGGGUGUCCAGCGAGGCCGGCAGCCCGCGUCCCCUCUCCACCCGAGCCGCGGUCGGAAAGGCGUGAAACAGCACACUUCCGGCGGGCCCACGCUGCGUAAGGAAGUCCGCGAGCCCGGUCCUUUGCCGAGUCCGGGCUCCUGGAGAGGUCUGAUUGGGCCCGGCGGCGCACACCUGUAAUCCAGCAGCCGGGGCGGCUGAGGGCAGGGGGAUCGCCAAGGGUUCAAGACCAGCCUGAGCUACAUAGUGAGGUCCUGUCUCAGAACACCAAACAAACGAACAAAGAACCAAAGUUCAAGUCCAGCUUGGACAGCUUACUACUUAGUGAGACCCUGUCUCUAAAGCAGUGUGUGUGUGUGCGUGCGUGUGUGUGUGUGGUAGACAAAGUGUUGGCCCUGCUGUGUGUGUUGAAGCUCACACACCUCAGGAGGAGGUCGGGAUCUUUGCCUCUGUGAGCACUAGUGGCUCCAGGUUUUCCUUGGAAUGUAGCUGCAUCUCUCCAGGCUGGCCUCUGAUUUCACAUGUCCUCUUUUGUCAGAAUUCUCAGCUUCCUCUCACAAGGACGCUUGCCAGGCAUGGUGGUGGAUACCUGUAAUCCUAGCAUUGGGAGGCUGAGGCAGGAGGAGCACAAGUUGGAAGCCAGCCUCAGCUACAUAGUGAGUUCAUAGUGAGUUUUGGACUACAAAACAAGGCCCUGUCUCAAAACAAAAAAAGCUGUUUUUGGACUUAGGAUCCACUUGUGUAGCAGACACCUCUGCCCAGUAUUAGCAGGCUGUAGUGGCACAAGCUCCUUGGCCCUCCAUCACUGGGCUGUGUUACAUUGGAAGUAGCAGAGCUUGGCUGAGUUCACUCCCAGUCAAGGUCAGCUGACUCCAGCUAAAUUCUUCCCUCUGAAUUAACUGUUUGUUCUGUUCAGCACAGAUAUGCUGGGCCCUCAUUCUACAGUCCUCCUCCUUGACACUUGUCAUCAGCAGGUGUCCCGAGGCCUGGCCAGCUUCCCCCUGCCCCACACUUGUGAUGAGUAAACAGUGGACAUCCUGGGAGUCCUUUCUCUUUGCUGCCCGGAGCAGCUUGGAUCAGCCUGAGACUCAGUGUCUCUCAAGUCUCUGUCUGUGUGUUUAUUCUAAUUCCCACUUAGCUAUCUUGAGGUCAUUGGACUGGGUUGCAGGAGGCCAGUAGCACUGCAGGGCUAACCCGAUACACUUGGAUUAUUCCGGAUGAUCCACUGUCAAGAUGCCUACAUCUGCAAAGAACCCUUCGCUAAAUAAAUAAAGUCUCAUACAUUCUGGAA